RNAcentral lists this unclassified non-coding RNA (200 nucleotides) under Lyophyllum sp. Its description in RNAcentral is "partial internal transcribed spacer 2". Lineage: Eukaryota; Fungi; Basidiomycota; Agaricomycetes; Agaricales; Lyophyllaceae. The record is from RNAcentral.
UUAAGUUCAGCGGGUAGUCCUACCUGAUUUGAGGUCAAAAUGUCAGGAGUUGUCCAUAGAGGACGGUUAUAAGCGGAACCCACAAUAAAGCUGAUUCUCAAUGGCGUAGAUAAUUAUCACACCAGGGAUGGUCAACAAAGGUUUCACUAAUGCAUUUAAGGAGAGCCGACUUCUGAGAAGCCCGCAACUCCCACAUCCAA